Neofelis nebulosa (Clouded leopard) is the source of this 1217-nucleotide long non-coding RNA. RefSeq lists it as uncharacterized. The record is from RefSeq and is a predicted model, not a curated record. The transcript has 2 exons. Lineage: Eukaryota; Metazoa; Chordata; Mammalia; Carnivora; Felidae.
UUUACCCGUCUGUUUACAACACACAGAUAAAUAAUCAGAAUAUCCAGGGAAUGAGGCUGCCUGGCCACUGUAUCUCUCUGGUUCGAAAUAAAGCACAGUAAUUAAUACGUUAAAAAUACCUACUGGACCCUUACUAUGUCCCAGAUACUCGAUGGGGUGCUAGCGAUAGGAAUGUAGAUAAUGGAACUCAUUCCAAACCCUAACCCAACCCCCAACCCCGAUCCUGACCCCAACACUAGCCCUAAAUCUAACCCCAACCCAAUCCUAGCCCAAACCCUGUACCAAUGCUACCCUUAACCAAAAACCCAACCCAAACCCUAAUUCUUUAAAAUAAUUUUUUUUUAAUAUUUAUUUUUGAGAGAGAGAGAGAGAGAAAGAGAGCACCAGCAGGGGAGGGGCAGAGACAGAGAGGGAGACACAGAAUCCGAAGCAGGCUCCAGGCUCCGAGCUGUCAGCACAGAGCCCCAUGCAGGGCUCGAACCCACGAACCGUGAGAUCAUGACCUGGAUCAUGACCUGAGCCAAAGUCGGAGGCUCAACUGACUGAGCCACCCAGGUGUCCCCCGAACCCUAAUUCUAAUCUUCGUGUUAAAAAUCUUUCCAUAAAUGCGUCUCCUUUUCUGUCGUAGUCAGUGGAGUGUGCUGAGUAAUAAUGAAACUCAUCUGAUUCUGAAUCAUCUGGUGCCUUCAGACUGGAAAAGGCAGAAGGCAGGUGAGACCAGGUUGAACACUGGCGAAUCCAGGGGAUGACUUUGAAAAACAAGGCACGUUGGAGCCAUUGCUGGAACCAGCCUUGGGCAAAUGAGUCAGAAGUCAGCACCCCAGGAGCCCCAAACAGAGAGGGUGGGUUUUUUCACACCCAAAUGGAGUCUUCCUUUGUGGAGGCUCAGGAGAAGGACCUCACUACGGGUCACUGCUGUUUGUUGAGCACACGCUGGUGCCACGCUGGGCGAAUUGCUUGUUAUCUCUGUACAGGUUUACGAUCACUCAGCGGACCGGACGAAGAAACUGGCACAGAAAGGUUCAGUCACUUGAGCAAGGCACCCAGCUAGCUAGCUAGUUAAGUGUUGCUGGUAGGAUCUGAACCCAGAUCUACUGACGUAUAGACUCUUAACCUUAUACUUCAAGGCAAAGAAAAUCCCAGGGGUGCCGAGGAGACGCUGUCGAGAUGUCCCCGAAACCGCGCGGCACAGAGAAGCCCACGGACAACCCCGGGUG